RNAcentral lists this ribosomal RNA (853 nucleotides) under Klebsiella quasipneumoniae subsp. similipneumoniae. RNAcentral describes it as "partial 23S ribosomal RNA". It matches the Rfam family "Bacterial large subunit ribosomal RNA", at positions 403 to 1258 of the family's 2925-position model. The record is from RNAcentral. Lineage: Bacteria; Pseudomonadati; Pseudomonadota; Gammaproteobacteria; Enterobacterales; Enterobacteriaceae.
ACUCGAAGAGUAGGGCGGGACACGUGGUAUCCUGUCUGAAUAUGGGGGGACCAUCCUCCAAGGCUAAAUACUCCUGACUGACCGAUAGUGAACCAGUACCGUGAGGGAAAGGCGAAAAGAACCCCGGCGAGGGGAGUGAAAAAGAACCUGAAACCGUGUACGUACAAGCAGUGGGAGCACCUUCGGGUGUGACUGCGUACCUUUUGUAUAAUGGGUCAGCGACUUAUAUUCUGUAGCAAGGUUAACCGUAUAGGGGAGCCGCAGGGAAACCGAGUCUUAACUGGGCGUUAAGUUGCAGGGUAUAGACCCGAAACCCGGUGAUCUAGCCAUGGGCAGGUUGAAGGUUGGGUAACACUAACUGGAGGACCGAACCGACUAAUGUUGAAAAAUUAGCGGAUGACUUGUGGCUGGGGGUGAAAGGCCAAUCAAACCGGGAGAUAGCUGGUUCUCCCCGAAAGCUAUUUAGGUAGCGCCUCGUGAACUCAUCUUCGGGGGUAGAGCACUGUUUCGGCUAGGGGGUCAUCCCGACUUACCAACCCGAUGCAAACUACGAAUACCGAAGAAUGUUAUCACGGGAGACACACGGCGGGUGCUAACGUCCGUCGUGAAGAGGGAAACAACCCAGACCGCCAGCUAAGGUCCCAAAGUCAUGGUUAAGUGGGAAACGAUGUGGGAAGGCACAGACAGCCAGGAUGUUGGCUUAGAAGCAGCCAUCAUUUAAAGAAAGCGUAAUAGCUCACUGGUCGAGUCGGCCUGCGCGGAAGAUGUAACGGGGCUAAACCAUGCACCGAAGCUGCGGCAGCGACACUAUGUGUUGUUGGGUAGGGGAGCGUUCUGUAAGCCUGCGAAGGUG